AAAACAGGAUAGUCGCUGAUCUUCCUUCAAGUGUCCAUUCCCAGUGUUAGGACGGGUGUAUUCAUCGCCCCCAACUGAAGACGGUCCAGACGUCCAUUGACAACAGAAUGGAUGAAUAAACCGUGGUGUGUUCACGGGACAGAAUCCAACAAGGCAGCAACAGUAAACAAGCUUCAGGUGCAGCCACAACAGGACUCUCUUGCAGGCUCACCGUGAGAUGGCUUUGCCAUGGUGCAGGUGGAGGAUGGAGGAGUCCUGUGCCCAGGUCGCCAUGGUCCUGAACCAGAACUGUGUAACGGGUGGGAAGAAUACACCAGAAGAAUGUUCCCCCGAAUUUGUGUUUU
Symphalangus syndactylus (siamang) is the source of this 344-nucleotide long non-coding RNA. RefSeq lists it as uncharacterized. NCBI's taxonomy places the organism in Eukaryota, Metazoa, Chordata, Mammalia, Primates, Hylobatidae. The record is from RefSeq and is a predicted model, not a curated record.